CGUAAGUAUUAGUACAUGGAGUGUCUGCUGGGAUGUUGUGGAGAGUGUCUGCUGGGAUGUUGUGGAGAGAGUCUUUAUAGACAUUGCUGUCAGCCAAUCGGGUUGAUUGUCGGGUGUCUGAUCGCUGGUCUCGUCCUCAUUUUGAUGAGCAUCAUUCUCUUCUGUUGCUGGCGGCGACAGCGAAGUCGACGAAAGCGAAUGGGCAGAAGUAAAUACCCGAGAGCUACAAUCAGCAUCACCAGACCAGCACCUUAUGUAGCAACUUCACAAGCACCGGCCUACAGUAAGGCAAGAGAUGCAGGAUAUCCAAAUGAUUACUAAACUGAACCGAUGCAGCAUGCAAGAGUUAUCUACCCUGUCUGGAGAUCACUACAAUAUAAUUCCCAACAAUAUUAUGUUAUAGACCAUUCACAUUUAUGGACAUUUUCACAACUGUACAAACUUUUAAUUCUAGGUUGUUUUUAGCUACCCCUUCCAGGUUCCCCUAAAAGCAUACAUAAAAAUGUUGAUUUGUAGAAAUAUGUUUUGGGAAAAUAGUUUACUUUUAAAAAUGUUUAAGCUAGAAUUCACUCUGUCCCCACUAAGGAAUAUUUUGCACACUUGUGAAAGUGUUGAUGAUUGUAUAUGUGGACCUGAGAAUCUCUGACAAAUGGAAAAUGUGAUUUUCAUACUCUCCAAACAUACUGGUGUUUGAUUGUGAAAUGUGCAAGUGCUUGUUGAUCAUUGUGGAUUAGACAUUUUAUGAACAUGCUGGUGAUUGAAUCAUUGACCAUUCACUUUUACAAUAUGCUGAUAUUAAAAUUAUAUGGUCUUCACCAGGUCAAAUUUAAAUGACAUUUUUGUUUAGAAAGGUAUCUUCCCUAUUGAAGAAUAAUUAUCUUAAUUAAAAAUUUUUUAAAUGCCACUGCAUAAAGGAUAAUAUAGUUAUCUUAAAGGCAGGGCCUUUAAUAUGUUAUGGCAUUAAGUUCAAAUUUGAAAUGAUUCUCUGGUGAUGAAGCCAUCAAAAUGUCAAGGUCAUAGAAUGUUAUGUCAGAAGGCACUAAUCCUUGCCCAUGACCCAUAUAUAUAUUGUUAUAUUAUUUCUUGCCAUGUAUUGUGAAAUAUAAUGUAAAAAUAUGAAAGGAAUGUCAUUCUUCCUUUAAAAUGUAGUAAAACUAGCACGUAAAUGAGUGUUGCAUGGGUGUGUGUGUCUUCAUGGGUGCGUGGGUGUGUGCCACCAUGGGUAGCUGUGCAGUAUAUUUUUUUCAUUACAAAAUACUGAUCAGAAACAAUAACUUAUUAUAGUCUUAAGAGUAAAAUUAAUGUAUAUUUGUACAAACAGAUUCUUAAUGUGGAUGAAAGAAUUUGGUUGAAUGGAAACACAAUUAUUUAAAGUAACUAGUAUUCCCAUGAAUUCACAUACAAAUUAAAUGGAAGAUUAGGGUUGUGUUUUUUAUAGAUAAAAUCCUGGGGCCUAAUUCACUAAACUCUCGCAACUUUGCGAUAUCACAGUGCAAUGCUAAAAGACUUGCAAAGAGGAUGCUUUGUUGUCUAACAGAGCCUAAGAGAACUUUGUGAAUUAGGCCCCUGGAAAUAAAAAUUUUUUAAAGCCUAAGCCACUCAUAUUUUAUUAUUAUUAUUUAUUUUAUUUUUAUUAGAUUCAAAAUAUAAAACACAAAUCGAAAUAAGACUUGUCUUCCACCUCUCACCACUGUGUGAAUGUCUGUGGAAUAGUUCAAAGUAAAUAGUAACAUGGUAGUUCUUUACCGUAGGUAGUUCUUUGUUUGACAUGUUCUGGAGAGUGAGCAGAGGCUGCAGCCCAGUGAUUAUUAUCUUCAGUAUCAGGCACACAUACAGGCAUUUUAGCAGGUGUGGUGGUGAGCAAAGUUUAUAGAGUUGAGUCAUGCUUGCCCGGACUAUUUGUAUUGAAAAAAGAAAAUGCUCAAGCAGGGAGGGGUUUUGACCCCAGAAAUCUUCCCAGUACACAUGCACACUUGAGUACCAUGCAUCGUGAUUAACUAUGCAUGUUUUAGAGAUUGCUAAACAAUUCAAAAUUGUAAAUAGUACUUUAAAAUAAAAAAUAAUUAAUGAUUAGAAACUCGCCAAUUAAAACAAGAAUUGACAACAAAAUGUUUUGUUUCUGAACUCUCCAUCCAAUCAGUGUGAAGUAUCCUGAACUUCAUUGAAAACACAACACCCAGUUUCCCCAAUUGUUUUUGCAAUUGCGUGUAUGUAUAAAACGCACAAUAACUCUAACCCUGAAUACAAUUUUAUUUUAUUUUUAUUUAUUACUCACCAGAAUACAUCCAGUUCAGAGCUCCUAGAAUUUCUAUAAAAUGCACUAGGUAUGGGAUCAGUUAUUAAAUUUUUUUACUAGCCAUAAUUUAAAAUUCACUAGCCCAAAAUUACUUUAACUUAAUACAAUUUUAGUAAAUAAUAGUAAUAAUCAGAUAUGUCACCUAAAGAGGGAGAUAACGCUUAA
This 2461-nucleotide unclassified non-coding RNA is filed under the name Gigantopelta aegis. RNAcentral's name for it is "uncharacterized LOC121369098, transcript variant X2". The record is from RNAcentral. Lineage: Eukaryota; Metazoa; Mollusca; Gastropoda; Neomphalida; Peltospiridae.